UGGAAGACUAGUGAUUUUGUUGUAUAAUGAAAACUGAACAACAAAUCGCAGUCUUCCUCA
Molecule: microRNA precursor, 60 nt
Filed under: Callorhinchus milii (elephant shark)
Lineage: Eukaryota; Metazoa; Chordata; Chondrichthyes; Chimaeriformes; Callorhinchidae
Description: Cmi-Mir-7-P1_pre stem-loop
Source: RNAcentral